This 253-nucleotide ribosomal RNA is filed under the name uncultured bacterium. RNAcentral describes it as "partial 16S ribosomal RNA". It matches the Rfam family "Bacterial small subunit ribosomal RNA", at positions 524 to 776 of the family's 1533-position model. The record is from RNAcentral.
UACGUAGGGCGCAAGCGUUGUCCGGAAUCAUUGGGCGUAAAGGGCUCGUAGGCGGCCUGUUGCGUCCGCUGUGAAAUCCCGGGGCUUAACCCCGGGCGUGCAGUGGAUACGGGCUGGCUGGAGGCAGGCAGGGGAGAACGGAAUUCCCGGUGUAGCGGUGAAAUGCGCAGAUAUCGGGAGGAACACCGGUGGCGAAGGCGGUUCUCUGGGCCUGUACUGACGCUGAGGAGCGAAAGCGUGGGGAGCGAACAGG